AUUGAACGCUGGCGGCAGGCUUAACACAUGCAAGUCGAGCGGGGUGAUGGUGCUUGCACUAUCACUUAGCGGCGGACGGGUGAGUAAUGCUUAGGAAUCUGCCUAUUAGUGGGGGACAACAUCUCGAAAGGGAUGCUAAUACCGCAUACGUCCUACGGGAGAAAGCAGGGGAUCACUUGUGACCUUGCGCUAAUAGAUGAGCCUAAGUCGGAUUAGCUAGUUGGUGGGGUAAAGGCCUACCAAGGCGACGAUCUGUAGCGGGUCUGAGAGGAUGAUCAGCCACACUGGGACGGAGACACGGCCCAGACUCCUACGGGAGGCAGCAGUGGGGAAUAUUGGACAGUGGGGGGAACCCUGAUCCAGCCAUGCCGCGUGUGUGAAGAAGGCCUUAUGGUUGUAAAGCACUUUAAGCGAGGAGGAGGCUCUUUUGGUUAAUACCCAAGAUGAGUGGACGUUACUCGCAGAAUAAGCACCGGCUAACUCUGUGCCAGCCGCCGCCGUAA
This 503-nucleotide ribosomal RNA is filed under the name uncultured bacterium. RNAcentral's name for it is "partial 16S ribosomal RNA". It matches the Rfam family "Bacterial small subunit ribosomal RNA", at positions 30 to 523 of the family's 1533-position model. The record is from RNAcentral.